This 394-nucleotide ribosomal RNA is filed under the name uncultured bacterium. RNAcentral describes it as "bacterial SSU rRNA". It matches the Rfam family "Bacterial small subunit ribosomal RNA", at positions 28 to 416 of the family's 1533-position model. The record is from RNAcentral.
GACGAACGCUGGCGGCAGGCCUAACACAUGCAAGUCGAACGGCAGCACGGCAGUAGCAAUACUGUGGGUGGCGAGUGGCGGACGGGUGAGGAAUACAUCGGGAUCUACCCUGUUGUGGGGGAUAACGUAGGGAAACUUACGCUAAUACCGCAUAAGAACUGAGGUUGAAAGCGGCGGACCGCAAGGCGUCGCGCGAUUGGAUGAACCGAUGUCCGAUUAGCUAGUUGGCGGGGUAAAGGCCCACCAAGGCGACGAUCGGUAGCUGGUCUGAGAGGACGACCAGCCACACUGGAACUGAGACACGGUCCAGACUCCUACGGGAGGCAGCAGUGGGGGAAUAUUGGGACAAUGGGCGCAAGCCUGAUCCAGCCAUGCCGCGUGGGUGAAGAAGGCC